This is a long non-coding RNA of Trifolium pratense (red clover), 762 nucleotides long. RefSeq lists it as uncharacterized. Lineage: Eukaryota; Viridiplantae; Streptophyta; Magnoliopsida; Fabales; Fabaceae. The transcript has 5 exons. The record is from RefSeq and is a predicted model, not a curated record.
AAGAAAAUUGUCACUUUGCGACACUUCUCUUGCAACCACUUGGGCAAAACCGUCGCAAAGUGUAAUUUUUGAAAUAUUUGUGACAUUGCUUACGACGGUUUUGACAACCGUUGCAGAAUUAUUCCUAAAAAAUACCCCUUCAUGACUAAGCACUCAAAACGCAAUCCAAUUCCUUCAAAACGCAAAAACGCAGAAACCCUACCCUACCCUCAUCUCUUCCAGUUCCAGGUCUAACCACAAACGCAGAAACGCACGCAGGACCAAAGAUUCAGAAUCAGCGAAGCUAUGGAGUUCCAAGUCCUUCAACCACAAACGCCUCCAAAUUCCUAGCUCGUUCCAAAUCUUCAUCCUUUUAGUCGCUUCAAAUCCCUAACAUGUUCUAAAUCCCUUAUAGUCACUCAAAAUCCAAAUCCCUAACUCUUUCAUCGUUCCAAAUCCAAUCCCAAAUCUCUCUCCAAAUCGACGAAGCUUAUCUUGUUUUGUCUUCGUACCAUCCUAGUGUGAACAAGGAACUUAGGACAUCUGAAAAGAUUAAAGCGAUUACUAUUCCUAUGAGGUUGGAAAAGACCCAAGGCCAGUCAUGAGAGGGGAGUAUACAUGUUUGAAGACGGUGGAGAUCCUGAAAAGGUAAAUUGCAUUUUUUGGCAAGACUAGUACUCUCACUGUUGGGAAGUGCCUAAAUACAAAAUUAUUGAUCAACUUGCAAGUCUUCUUAUGGGCAAAAUGUGUGUAAGACGUGUUGCUUUUAUUUCUCUUACAAUA